CACACCGCGUUCCUUUUCCCACAUAUUUAUGUCACUGAGCUUCUGCAGCACUCCGGCUACAUUCUUAGCAUUGCGGGUGACCUCGCACGCAGGGGAUAUGGUAAGGAUAAUCCCAUUGCACUGAUGUUCGCUUUGCUAUAUGCGACGAUCACUUGUCAAGUGCUGCUACAUUCCUGCUUUUCCAUGACUUCAAGAAGGUACUAUAUCAUUUGAACAUGCUGGCAUCGCAAAUGUCGAGUGUGUUGCUGGGAUAAGCGUCAAACACAGCAAACCGGGAAAUGACAUUGGUGUUAUACUAUCUCCGGUGGGCGUUUGGCAUCCUGGUCUUCAAGAGAUCACAACCGAGUCUCGAUAAAUGGUGUUUCUGGAACAUCCUGUCCAUUUCCUCGAUUUCCGGUUUAUCUAAACGGUAAGGUCCUUGAAUUCCAAUACCUUGGUCUAACUAUCCAAAAAUGUCAGCUUCUUCUGAUAAAGGAUCAUGGUGACAAUGUAAUGACUACGCGUUAUAGUUCGCUAUUAGUCUUAAUCCCUACCAUGUCGGUCGCCUAAAGUCACAAACAUAAUACAUGCACCGGUUCAACUCUGGUUUCCAUGCUGCUCAUACUUCCCCCCUUUCCCACAUCAUCGACUAAUAUUUACAUACAAGGCAUUGUUAAACUAGUAAUGAGAACAAUCUCCACACCAAGCAGCAUUCCUAUAAGAUAAUGCAAUAUUGACCUAUGAAAAAAAAAAAUUGCUUUAAUUCAAUAUUGAAACCGGCAAUCUUGGAUGCGGUGGCCAGAAUAGUUAUAUAAUAAUCAGUUAUUACCUGUUAACAUCUGGGCUUUCCGCAUACUAGUGCCCACUAUGACGCUAUCUGAUGAAAGCUCUCUGAAGCAAGAGCAGCUUUCUUACGAGACCUGACUCAUUUUCACAAGUCUCCCUUUGUUAACAGAGCUGACCAUCUCAAAUAUGAAAUGCUGAUUUUACAUUCAUUCUCUCUCUAGCAUCCUCAAGGUUGACUCUGAUGGGGAUGGGAGUAUUACGAUUAUGCUAGUCAAUUUUAUUGAGUCUCUGUAUUCUAUAUAUUGUUGGUGUUGCUAUGAUUUCAAGUAUUUAUUUCCACAUCUCAAGUCUCAAUUAUUCUCAACAAGAUCUUGUUCCUACUUGAUAGAUGGGUAUAUCACUAGUUAAAUUCUGGCCUGCACUAAUCUUUCUACGGUGCA
This 1205-nucleotide small RNA is filed under the name Histoplasma capsulatum. RNAcentral describes it as "hypothetical RNA". RNAcentral also lists the same sequence under 1 other name. Lineage: Eukaryota; Fungi; Ascomycota; Eurotiomycetes; Onygenales; Ajellomycetaceae. The record is from RNAcentral.